RNAcentral lists this ribosomal RNA (1197 nucleotides) under Latilactobacillus curvatus. RNAcentral describes it as "bacterial SSU rRNA". It matches the Rfam family "Bacterial small subunit ribosomal RNA", at positions 39 to 1206 of the family's 1533-position model. Lineage: Bacteria; Bacillati; Bacillota; Bacilli; Lactobacillales; Lactobacillaceae. The record is from RNAcentral.
GGGGGGUGGCUAUACAUGCAGUCGAACGCACUCUCGUUAGAUUGAAGAAGCUUGCUUCUGAUUGAUAACAUUUGAGUGAGUGGCGGACGGGUGAGUAACACGUGGGUAACCUGCCCUAAAGUGGGGGAUAACAUUUGGAAACAGAUGCUAAUACCGCAUAAAACCUAGCACCGCAUGGUGCAAGGUUGAAAGAUGGUUUCGGCUAUCACUUUAGGAUGGACCCGCGGUGCAUUAGUUAGUUGGUGAGGUAAAGGCUCACCAAGACCGUGAUGCAUAGCCGACCUGAGAGGGUAAUCGGCCACACUGGGACUGAGACACGGCCCAGACUCCUACGGGAGGCAGCAGUAGGGAAUCUUCCACAAUGGACGAAAGUCUGAUGGAGCAACGCCGCGUGAGUGAAGAAGGUUUUCGGAUCGUAAAACUCUGUUGUUGGAGAAGAACGUAUUUGAUAGUAACUGAUCAGGUAGUGACGGUAUCCAACCAGAAAGCCACGGCUAACUACGUGCCAGCAGCCGCGGUAAUACGUAGGUGGCAAGCGUUGUCCGGAUUUAUUGGGCGUAAAGCGAGCGCAGGCGGUUUCUUAAGUCUGAUGUGAAAGCCUUCGGCUCAACCGAAGAAGUGCAUCGGAAACUGGGAAACUUGAGUGCAGAAGAGGACAGUGGAACUCCAUGUGUAGCGGUGAAAUGCGUAGAUAUAUGGAAGAACACCAGUGGCGAAGGCGGCUGUCUGGUCUGUAACUGACGCUGAGGCUCGAAAGCAUGGGUAGCAAACAGGAUUAGAUACCCUGGUAGUCCAUGCCGUAACGAUGAGUGCUAGGUGUUGGAGGGUUUCCGCCCUUCAGUGCCGCAGCUAACGCAUUAAGCACUCCGCCUGGGGAGUACGACCGCAAGGGUUGAAACUCAAAGGAAUUGACGGGGGCCCGCACAAGCGGUGGAGCAUGUGGUUUAAUUCGAAGCAACGCGAGAACCUUUACCAGGUCUUGACAUCCUUUGACCACUCUAGGAGAUAGAGCUUUCCCUUCGGGGACAAGUGACAGGUGGGUGCAUGAUGUCGUCAGCUCGUGUCGUGAGAUGUUGGGAUAGUCCCGCACGAGCGCACCAUAUACUAGCUGCAAGCAUUAGUCGGCACUCUAGUGAGACUGGCUGGUGACCGACCCGGAGUAGUGAGACGACGUCGAUUCAUCAUGCUCCAUUUAUG